Molecule: non-coding RNA, 109 nt
Organism: Picea glauca (white spruce)
Lineage: Eukaryota; Viridiplantae; Streptophyta; Pinopsida; Pinales; Pinaceae
Source: Rfam
UACAACAUAGCAUUAAUGUAUCGGAUCCCAUUAGAACUCUGCAAUUAAGCACGCUCAUUCUAGAGUAGUAUUGGGAUGGGUGACCGCCCGAGAAGUCUUAGUGUUUUAC